This 63-nucleotide transfer RNA is filed under the name Krisna nigromarginata. RNAcentral's name for it is "tRNA-His". Lineage: Eukaryota; Metazoa; Arthropoda; Insecta; Hemiptera; Cicadellidae. The record is from RNAcentral.
AUUUAAGUAGUUUAAAAAAAAAUAAAGGAUUGUGAUUUCUUAGAUAUCAAUAUGUCUUAAAUU